GGGCGAUUAGCUCAGCUGGUAGAGCAGCAGACUCUUAAUCUGCGGGUCGCAGGUUCGAUCCCUGUAUCGCUCA
RNAcentral lists this transfer RNA (73 nucleotides) under Treponema sp. RNAcentral describes it as "tRNA-Lys". It matches the Rfam family "tRNA". Rfam says of the family: Transfer RNA (tRNA) molecules are approximately 80 nucleotides in length. Their secondary structure includes four short double-helical elements and three loops (D, anti-codon, and T loops). The record is from RNAcentral. Lineage: Bacteria; Pseudomonadati; Spirochaetota; Spirochaetia; Treponematales; Treponemataceae. RNAcentral also lists the same sequence under 4 other names.